Trifolium pratense (red clover) is the source of this 8666-nucleotide long non-coding RNA. RefSeq lists it as uncharacterized. Lineage: Eukaryota; Viridiplantae; Streptophyta; Magnoliopsida; Fabales; Fabaceae. The record is from RefSeq and is a predicted model, not a curated record. The transcript has 25 exons.
UCCAAUUUCCCCAUUCACACAAAUCAAAACCAGUGAAUAAAGCAUUCAGUUGAAACUAAAAUUAGAAUUUACAAUUCAAUCACAUAACAACACCAAGACACAAUUUAGGGAUUUAUGCAAUUGGGUUCUCUCACAAGAAAUAUAGUGGAGAUAAUUGCCCAGUGUGAUGGUAUUCAAUUGGCGUCUUCGUCUUUGCCGUCGUGCACUGAUUGGCGUCUUCGUGUGCACCGAUUGACGGAUCAUCUCUUUUGUUUUUAGGAGCGGUUUAGUACACAUUAUCAUCUUUAAUCUAGGCAACUGGAUUAAUCCAACGGUAAAGGUUUAUGCAGCAGACAUAGCGGUAGACAAUUUUGCAGCUGUGGAUCCAAAUCGCUAUAAAUCAUCCGAAACUUCGACCGUUGCUUCAAAAAUUGGGUUUUUUUUCACUCUCAUUCUCUCAUUCCUAUUCAUUCAUUCAUUCUACAAUCAUAGAAGAUAACAACACUCUUAGAUUCUACCACCAAGAAUCAAUCAUACAAAAAAUCAACAACAACAACUUUUUGAUUCGACCGUUGCUUCAAAAAUAGGGUUUUUCAUUCUUAUUCUCUCAUUCCUAUUCAUUCAUUCUACAAUCACAGAAGAGAACAACAGUCUUUGAUUCUACCACCAAGAAUCAAUCAUACAAAAAAUCAACAACAACAACAACAAGAGUUUUGCAAUGGCUUCAAGAAUUGUUCCUCAACAACAACCCAGAGGUGUGUGUUUUCUUCAAUCAUACUAAUUUUGAUGUUUCAUUAAUUUUUCUGUGGUUCAAUGUUUUGUUCCAAGAUUGGAACUUUAUUUGAUGUUUCAUUCAUUUUUCUGGGGUUUAAUGUUUUGUUCCAAGAUUGGAACUUUAUUUGAUGUUUCAUUAAUUUUUCUGUGGUUCAAUGUUUCGUUCCAAGAUUGGAACUUUAGUUUCAUGUUUUAAGGGUUUUGUCCAAAAUCCAACAAAAGGGUCUUGAUUUUUUUUCUGGAUUUUUUGUUUGGAUCUGAGAUUUUGGGUUUAAUUAUUUUGCCAUUGGGGGAGGGAAACCGGUGAAAGAGAACGGUGCAGCAGCUUAAGAAAGGAACCGAAGAGCACUUCUUGAUAUUGGAAAUGUUGUCACUCUAAAAGGUGUUGAAGUCAAGCCAAAUCGCCUUGUCACAAGGAGUUUUUGUGCACAACUACUUGCCAAUGCUCAAGCAGCAGCAGUUAAUGAGAAUAACAAGUGUGUUACAGGGGAGAGGGCCUAUAAAUGUAUGGUUUACUAUGGAACCCAUGGCAGCCAGAGGUUCAAAUACUUAGCUUGGGAUUUUGGAUAGUGUCAGAGUUUACAGGGGCGAGAGCCUAUAAAUGUAUAUGUAUCGGGAAUGUAAGUACGAGUGAAGCAAGGAUGAGGAAUUCCCUACAACUUAGUUUGGCACAAGAAUCUGCACUUUCAUUUUGGUUAUCUCUACUCUGAUUAUGAAUUCUUCACGUUUGUUUGUAUUUUUUGAGGAUCUGUUUUUUUAUUACAAGGACCUGUUUUUGCUUUGGUGUUACAGGGGAGAGAGCUAUGAUUGUACUGUGGGAUUUGGAAGCUUUGAGCCUUUGGAUUCUACGGUGUGGUUCGUCAAAAUAAUGAUCUUCUUUCAUCAUAGCAUGGAGCCUCAAGUUUUGGACCGGAGGGAGUAUCUCAUGUUUGAUCUUCCUGUUAUAUAUUCUGAGAUAUGGAAUCUGAAAAUCAAGUUCUUCGGCAACAGUCUCUGUGAAAACGAUGUCAGAGCACCUUUCUACCCAUGUAUAUGAGAAGAAGUUGGAAAAUGGUCAUCAUUUGGUAGAAGAUCAGAAAGCUAUUGAAACACAGACCGACACACCUGUGAAAAAGUCAACAUGAAAAUGUUGAUUCCCUUAUCAAUUGUGUUAUGAAAAAUAUUGGAUUCCAUCAUGGAAAGCCUAUUGCUGCAUUCACCAUUUACAAAUGCCUUCUCCACUGGAAAUCAUUUGAAGCUGAAAGGACAAGUGUAUUUGAUCGCUUUAUCCAGAUGAUUGGUUCUGCAAUUGAGUUAGAAAACCACCAAAUCCAACAUCCCUAUUUGGCAGAACGACUAUGGGUUUUCGGUCAUCUCCUUCGUCUGCCAACCUUCCUACCCCAUCGGAGGUUGUACGCAAAGUAGAGGCUAAGUAUCCUGCUUUGCUUUUCAAGCAACAGCUCACAACCUACGCGGAGAAAAUAUAUGGUAUCUUGUGGGACAACUUGAAGAAAGAGUUGGCAUCAUUUAUUUCGUUAUGUAUCCAGGUUCCUCCUGUCCUAGUCCAAAAGAUCUUCUCUCAAACAUUUUCAUAUAUUAAUGUUCAACUCUUCAACAGAACCGGUUGAGGUUAGAAGACCACGAUACUGCACCAGAACUAACAUAAAAACAUAUCCGGUCCUAAAAGCAACCUUGGCUCCUGAUGUUGAGUGUGGUUCGUCAAAAUAAUGAUCUUCUUUCAUCAUAUCAUGGAGCCUCAAGUUUUGGUUUGCAUAUUUAUUUUUAAAGCAUAUAUUUUAAUGAUAUUUUAUUUCCUCCGGUGUUGCACGGAUGAUAAUACUUUUCUUUCUCAUGUUUGAUCUUCCCAUUUUGUAUUCUGAUUCUUUUUUUUUUUUUAGGUCUUUUGAUUGAGGUUUGAUUUGGUUCUGACUUUGAUACAUGUUAAUCGAAAAACGACGUUUUCUGUAGUGCAUUAUGUUUUGAAACAAUAACAUUUGAUUAGUAUCAAGCCACGAGUUUAUUUUGGUACCUCUCCUUUGAAUGGGAAUUAUUUUCGUUACUUUUUUUAUCUGGACGAUUCUUGUUGUCUAGUCUUCUGGAUUUGCUCCUCUAUGAUUUACCAUUACGACUUAUUCUUUCUUAUUAAUGUUGAAAACUAUGCAUGAUUUAAGAUUUUUUAUUUUGUUUUUGUUUUCGUGUUUUGGGAGAGCUUGGUGGGCCUAUCUUUGUUAUACUGAUUUCUGACUUGGUUUGAAGAACUAUGGUACUGUUCUUUCUUCUUGGUUCUUUUUCUACAAUCUGUUUGUUACAGCCUAAUAUUAAUUUUCUUGUGGUGUUAACAGAGUAAGAUUUACACGGGUUUUGUAUACCACAAAAGUUUUCUGCUUUUUCAAACACCGAACCUUUUGAAUCACCGUCUUAAGUGUCUUAUGUGGAGGAAUCAACCUUACACGUGAACUAUAAUGUUCAGUUGGUUGUGUUGCAUAUUUUUUCUAGGCUUUAAUUUGGUGAUCUGUACUCAUAUUUGAAUUCUUCACAUUUCAUUAUAGUUGUUUCAGCAUCCACACUUGAUUCCUUUGUGAAAGCUUAAGGUGAGGUUAUCAUAUUCUUCCAGUGUUGAAGUUUUUGCGAGUUUCUGUAACGUUUAAACUCAGUGGUUAACAUACAAAAUUCUGGUGUAACUCUUCCCUUCCCAAGGUAAGGAUUUUCAACAACUUGGUUAGGUGGUGUUUGUUAUCAUGACCUGUUUCAUUGGCCCACAAACUCCUCUGGUAUUGAAGUAGGCUUAGUAAGCUUAAAUUGUGACGUUUCAUAUUGACCACACCAUGAUAUUAAAUUGAUAGUGAGGAUAUGAUGUUGAUCGAUAGUAAAUUCUUGUUGUUUCCAUCUUUAGCAUUUCUGAGAGCAUAUAGUUCAUGAUUUGUUAUUUAUUCUUAGGUGUUGCCGGAGAGGAUAUGAUUUUUAUUUAAGUCUUGAUAUGUUUUUCUCAAAAUCAAACUUCUCUUGACUCUUCUUUUACUCAUCAAGAUUUUGUUUUGUAUAAUUUUUUGAUAUAAUUCUUUGUUUGGUAAUCGAAAGAUAUGUUUAUCCGUUUUGCAGCGGGCAAGAGCUUUCGAUGUCUAGAAUGCAUUCAUAAAAUGGACAAGAGCACACAGCCAAUAGUUUUAAUUUGGUGAUCUCUAGUAAAUUCUUUUUGUUUCAAUCUUUAUCGAUUCUGAGAGCAUAAAUUUCAUGAUUUAUUAUUUAUUCUUAGGUGUUGCUGGAGAGGAUUUGAUUUUGAUUUACGUCUGGAUAUGCUCUUAGAAUUUCACACAAUCAAACUUCUCUUGACUCUUCUUUUACUCAUCAAGAUUUUGUUUUGUAUAAUUUUUUGAUAUAAUCCGUUGUUUGAUAAUCGAGAGAUGUGUUUAUCCGUUUUGCAGUGGGCUAUGAAGUUUCGAUGGAAUGCCUUGAUAAAAUAGACAAGAACAUGGAGCAUAAAGUUUUAAUUUGGUGAUCUCUAGUAAAUUCUUUUUGUUUAUCCAUUGCAGCGAGCUGAUUUCUGGAUAUCUCGAACAAUUUGGGAUUAUAAUGAAUAAGAACGAUAAUAGCUACUACAGAUGCAUAAUCAAAUUUACUACAGAUGUUUCAAUAACUCCAUCGCUUGCGAAUGCAUAUUUUCUUGAUAUCUAUGAAUCAGCAUGUGUAGUGUGUUUUGAAACAAUAACAUUAUAAGCAGCAUCAAGCCUCAGGUUUAUUUUGCUACCAUGUACUUGGGUUGUGAACUAUUUUUAUUUUCAUUUCUAUUCUUAUUGUCUAGUCGAUUUACUUCUUGGUCUAUGUUUGGCUUUUUUAUCUGAUUUCUGACAGUGCAAAAGUUUACAUGAUUCUUUAGGAGUUGGGACAACUUGGCGGUCCUCUCUUUGUAAUGUUGAUUCGCGAUUUUGGUACCUCUCUCUGUAACUUCAGAUUUACUCCGUGGUUUUGCACACAACUUCUGGAAUAACUCUUCCCUUCCCAAGGAUUUAGGAAUUUUGGACAACUUGGUUAGGUUAUGUUAAUUUUACUUCAUUGUUUCUCUGUUGAUUCUUGUUGUUUACUCUCUCGAUCUACAGGUGAGAAAUUAAUGAAUGUGCAACUAUGGCGGUGAUUAUAAUUGGUUGGGGGUUUGGUUUAAUACUACUUAUUAAGCAUCUUUCAUGGUGUAUAUUUUCUUACAAUUGCUUUAAUACUAUUUUUUUUCAAGUUUAUUUCAUUCUUGAGAAUCUGUGUAUAUUUGUCAAGACCCAAUACUAACUCAUAUUUAGUCUGCUAAGCCUAGCCUUUACACUUUGUUAACUUUUCCUCUCUGCUGGGAUUAAUUUGGCAAUGCAAAUUUAGUUUUGAACAUUUCUGCUGGGAUUAUUCUUUGCAAGUUUGGGCGAGAUUAUCAGAUAAUGGCGAUUCAUCAUUGGGAUGUAAUGGCGAUUAUCAAAUUUCUUCGAUGAGUAAUUCUUUAUUAUUUUUACUUUUGAGCUUUGAAUGUAAGACAAAAAUUGAAUGUUGUGUACCUGUUCUUAUGCAGUGUGGUUUUGUCAAAAUAAUGAUGUUCUUUCAUCAUAGCAAUGGAGCCUCAAGUUUUUGUUUGCACAUCUCAUUCAAAAGCAUAUUUUGUUGAUAUUUUAUUUCAUCUGGUGUUAUCAUUUUCUUUCUCUUGUUUGAUCUUCCGAUUUUGUAUUCUGGUUCUUUUUUCUGGUCAUUUGAUUUUGAGGUUUGAUUUGGUUCUGGGUUUGAUACAUGUUAAUUGAAAAAUGACAUUGUUUUCUGCAGUGCAACGUGUUUUGGAACAAUAAUAUUUGAGUAGUGUCAAGCCUCAGGUUUAUGUUGGAACCUCUACUUGUAAUGUGAAAUAUUUUCAUUUUAUUUUUUAUCUGUUGAUUCUUAUUGUCUAGUCUUCUGGAUUUUCUCCUUGAUGAUUUAACCAUUAAUACUUAUUUUUUGUUUUGAAUGUUCACAUACUUCCUGUUCAGCCUAUAAUAAUGUGUGGCUUCUGGGAUCCAGUGGCAGGAAGAGGUUCACAUACUUUCUGCUCAGCCUUGGGAUAGUGUUGGAGCAUGAGUGUGAAGCAUUUAAGAUUCCAGAGUAAAUCUCUUUGCCAUUCCCAAGGAUGAGGAAUUCUUGACAAGCUUGGUUUGGCACUUUUCUUUCCUGUUGAUUUGCUACUUCCUUUGUUAUAAUUUAUUGUUCAUAUCAACUUUCAACUGCCAUGCUUAAUGUUGCUUCCUUUUUUUGUUAAAUAAGUUAAUGAUGGUUCCAACCAGUGCAAUUGGUAUUGUAAUUACCUCAUUGUAAUUACCUCAAGGUAAUUACAAUACCAAUUGCACAUUAAUAAGAAUCAACCAGUGUUAAAUAAGUUAUUUUUUAUCUGUUGCUUCCUUUUUUAAUGUUGCUUCCUUUUUAUCUGGUUGGAAUAAUGUUGCUUCCUUUUUUCAAUUUGUAUUGUAAUUACCUCAUUGGAGUCAAUCAAGUUAGCAAUCCUUGCAAGCUCCUCAAUGAUCCGCUGGUUUACUCCAACCAGUGCAUUAUUUUCCAAUAUGAUUUUAUAUCGUACUAUAUACAAAAGGAUUUGGUAGAUAGGUAAACAGAGAGAGAGAGUGAUUGAUUGUAAAAUUGAUAUAUUAUACAAAAGGGUUAUAGUGUUCCAUUUUUCAUUUUGAAAUACUCAAGACAACACUAAAUCUUUAUGUUUUCCAUUUUUCGCUUUUAUUUUCAGAUUUUUUCCUUGAGGAAGUUUUCAACGACACUUUUGACAUAUGAUGAGACAUCUCAUUUAUUUUUUAAUGAAUGCAACGAAAUGUACUAAGUGAAUGUUUACUGUUGUUAUUGUUGGUGAGACCAGAGGAGUGUCGGGAGCAGCAGACUCUGAUACAUCUCCAUCAAAAGCAACGAGAGUAACAACGGGACAGCGUCGAAAGCAACAAUGAGCCGCAUCUCUAUCAAAACCUUAAAGCAUUAGGGGUACAUGGAUUUGGUGGUAACAGGGUUACAUGGAUUUGGUGUAUGUCCUUUCUCAAAUGUACUGCAACAUGUUAAUUUCGCUGACCGAAGUGGAGAAAUUGGAGAUGAGUGCUUCUGCAGUAUGUUAUAUAUUUUUAACUGUUGCUUAGCCUAAUUGGGCAUGAUUAUCAUUAUUCAUCAUUGCCAUUGGGAUAUAAUUGGUCUUUUUUUGAUAUGUUUAUGUAUUUGUUUUCGAAGAAUUGUUCUUAGCUUGUGGACAGGUUGGUGUGUUGAAGUUUGUGUUUCUUCUGGUGUUGGAGUUUGUGUGUUUCAGAAUUCGGAACCUGCUCUUCCCAAGAUGAAGAAUUUUGGACGACUUGGUUACAUCGGAGGUGUUGUUUACUCGUUAGGAGAGUGGUCCGGGACUCCUGUGUUAGGAGGAAGCCAAAGUCACACAUAAUCUGCAGGCUUUAAUUUGGUUAUCUCUUCGAAGACACCUAAUAAGAUACCCUCUUCAUUAGAGUGGCCAUAGGACUCCUCAGUAUUAGGUGGAAGCCAAAAUUGUAUUAUUUAAUAGGGCUACAUGAUCUUGCAAAUUGGAUGGAAAUUUGGGGAGAGAGCCUAUAAAUAUGUGCUUCACUAUGGAACCCGUGGCAGACGGAGGUUCACUGUUUCUUUUUUUUACUUGUUACUUUGGUCUCCUGAUGUUGAGGUUAUUUUCAAAACAGAGAAAUAAAACUAAAAAAGUUAGCAAUCCUUGCAAGCCCCUCAAUGAUCUGCUUGUUUACUCCAAACAGUGCAUUAUUGUCCAAUAUGAUUUUACAUCCUACUACAAAGGAUUUGGUAGAAAGGUGAAUGGGCAAUUGCUUAACUUGAGAGGAAUGCAAGUUCCUUGCAAUUCUGAUCACCGAAUUGGGUUACAUUGAUUUGGUUUAUUUCACAAGUGUCCUUUCUCAAAUCUGCAAAAUGUUAAUUUUUAUGUCCGAAGUGAAGAAAUUGGAGAUGAGUACCUCUGCGAUACAUUUUUCGGGAUAGUGUUGGGGCAUGAGUGUGAAGCAUUUAAGAUUCCAGAGUAAUGCUCUUUGCCAUCCCCAAGGAUGAGGAAUUCUUGACAAGCUUGCGAGUUGAAGUCUUUGGAUAUGUAGAACAAAUUACGAUUCUUGAUUAAAUUAAAUGGUUGAGAACGGAGAACACAUCCAGAUAAAUCAAAUUUCUUCAAUUUCUUCAAUGACGGGCUAAGAAGUUUCGAUAUCUAGAAUGUGUUGAUAAAAUGGACAAGAACAUGUAGCCAAGAGUUUUAAUUUGGUGAUCUCUGCGGGCUAAGAAGUUUCGAUGUCUAGAAUGACUUGAUAAAAUGGACAACAAUGAAGAAAGAUUCAAUAUAGAUAAAUCAAAUUUCUUCAUGUUCUGUAUUCUUAUUCUUUUCUGCUUGAUAAUUUGGUAUUUUGGUUGUGCUUGGUUUCAUUCUUGGAGUUGCUGGUUUUAUUGUUUGAUUUAAUUAAUAUUAUUAUCAAGUUCAUUUUGGUUUUAAUAGACUUGUUCUUCCAAUUCCUCUUAUUUUUCAGAUAUUAUUCUUCGAGUACAAAUGGGUGUUUUGCUUUUAAUCUGUUGGCAACACGCUGGAGUUCUGAUUUGAAUUUUUCCUUUUUACGAAGCUUGAUGCAUGAUUAUCACCCUCUGGUUGAAGUUUUUGUGAAGCUUACUGCAGGGUAUUGUGUUUUGACAUCAUUAGAUAUAUUUUGGUAAACUUUUCAAUUCCUCUAUUCUCUUUGGACUCAAGCCUUGGUCUGUUUUCUUAUAUUGGGACUCAAUUCCUCUAUUCUCUCUUUGUAACUAUGAUAUUCUGAUCAGCGACUUGGUUUGGAGAAUUAUGCUACUAUUAUUUCUUUAUUCUUGGUUUUUUUACAACUACUUGUAAUAGUGUAAUUUUGUUGUACAUAUCUGAUGUUCACAGGGUUACAUGGAUUUAUUGCAUUUCA